GACAGAAGGUGCAAGCGUUACUCGGAAUUACUGGGCGUAAAGCGUCCGCAGCCGUCUAGGCAAGUCUGAUGUAAAAUCGCAGAGCUCAACUCUGCGUUCGUAUCGGAUACUAUCUAGAUUGAGUUAUGGAAAGGCAUCUGGAAUGUCAUGUGUAGGGGUAAAAUCCGUUGAUCCAUGAUGGAACGCCAAAAGCGAAAGCAGGAUGCUAGUCAUAUACUGACGGUCAGGGACGAAAGCGUGGGGAGCAAAGGGG
Molecule: ribosomal RNA, 253 nt
Filed under: uncultured bacterium
Lineage: Bacteria
Description: partial 16S ribosomal RNA
Rfam family: Bacterial small subunit ribosomal RNA
Source: RNAcentral